This 431-nucleotide unclassified non-coding RNA is filed under the name soil metagenome. RNAcentral's name for it is "partial contains 5.8S ribosomal RNA, internal transcribed spacer 2, and large subunit ribosomal RNA". The stretch from base 1 to 120 matches the Rfam family "5.8S ribosomal RNA", at positions 35 to 154 of the family's 154-position model. The record is from RNAcentral.
GAUGAAGAACGUAGCGAAAUGCGAUACGUAAUGUGAAUUGCAGAAUUCAGUGAAUCAUCGAAUCUUUGAACGCAUAUUGCGCUCUCUGGUAUUCCGGAGAGCAUGCUUGUUUGAGUAUCAGUAAACACCUCAACUUCCAUAUCUUUUUUGAAAUGGGAGUUGGACUUGAGUGAUCCCAACGCUUUUCCUCACCGAAAAGUGGCGGGUUACUUGAAAUGCAGGUGCAGCUGGACUUUUCUCUGAGCUAUAAGCAUAUCUAUUUAGUCUGCCUAAAAACAGAUUAUUACCUUUGCUGCAGCUAACAUAAAGGAGAUUAGUUCUUGUGCUGACUGAUGCAGGAUUCACAAAGACGGCUUCGGCCGACUUUGUAAACUCGAUCUCAAAUCAAGUAAGACUACCCGCUGAACUUAAGCAUAUCAAUAAGCGGAGGA